AUAAAUUCUUAGAUAUAUAAAUAAAUAUAUAUAUAUAUAUAUAUGUUUAUUCAUUUAUAUUUUUAUUCUUUUAUAAUACACUUUUUCCAG
RNAcentral lists this small nucleolar RNA (90 nucleotides) under Plasmodium falciparum 3D7. RNAcentral's name for it is "Pfa-snoR44". The record is from RNAcentral. Lineage: Eukaryota; Apicomplexa; Aconoidasida; Haemosporida; Plasmodiidae.